GAUGAACGCUGGCGGCGUGCUUAACACAUGCAAGUCGAACGGAAAGGCUCCUGCUUGCAGGGGUACUCGAGUGGCGAACGGGUGAGUAACACGUGGGUGAUCUGCCCUGCACUUCGGGAUAAGCCUGGGAAACUGGGUCUAAUACCGGAUAGGACCACAUUUUGGAUGGUGUGGUGGAAAGUUUUUCGGUGUGGGAUGAGCUCGCGGCCUAUCAGCUUGUUGGUGGGGUAAUGGCCUACCAAGGCGUCGACGGGUAGCCGGCCUGAGAGGGUGUACGGCCACAUUGGGACUGAGAUACGGCCCAGACUCCUACGGGAGGCAGCAGUGGGGAAUAUUGCACAAUGGGCGCAAGCCUGAUGCAGCGACGCCGCGUGGGGGAUGACGGCCUUCGGGUUGUAAACUCCUUUCGCUAGGGACGAAGCGCAAGUGACGGUACCUGGAGAAGAAGCACCGGCUAACUUCGUG
RNAcentral lists this ribosomal RNA (465 nucleotides) under uncultured bacterium. RNAcentral's name for it is "partial 16S ribosomal RNA". It matches the Rfam family "Bacterial small subunit ribosomal RNA", at positions 28 to 507 of the family's 1533-position model. The record is from RNAcentral.